UAAAAAAUAUAUUUUUCCAUUGAAAGCACUUUUAGUAUUAUCAAAAGCACUUCCGCAGAUGCCUUAAUUAGUAAUUUAGCAAAUGGUGUGAAUUAUGCAAAGGGAUAAAGUUUGCACCGACUUUUAUUUUUUGCUUUCCAAUCAAAAGUUUGGACCAAUUAGCCAUAGAUUCAUUCUACAGCGAUCCGAAACGCAUCAUUUGUUUUUAUUGUUGGGGUGGGGGUGGUGUGUGUUUGGUUGCACACACUUGUAAUAAAAAACGGACAAAAAAGGAUUAGGCUGGAAAUUAAUUAUUGUUAGUUACACUUUAAAAAUAAUCAACUGUAAAGACUGAAGAGAAAUAGUUAAGUGUUUGAUAAAUUUUAUUUUUAUAAGUACUGUGAAUUAAGAGAAAAUAAAUGAUUAAAAUGUACAUAAUAUAGAUAAAAUUUACUUACACAUAUAAAAACAUGUACAUACAAUAUUUUUAGUGUAUUAUAAUAAUUUUAACUAAUAAUAAAGUAUACACACACUUGCAAUUAGUUAUUUACACUUCUAAUUUUUGUAACUAACUAAAUUAUAUAUAUUGUGAAAUGUCAAAAUUUGAUUAAGUUUAAUGAUCUAAAAUCAGAAUUGACGUAGCCAAAAGGAACACUUUAAAUGGGUGCAGUUGGCAUUCGAUUGAGUUUUGAGAGUCUUGAGAGCGGGGCCACAGAAAGCAGAGUCGAUGGGGAACCAAAAGUAAAGAUUGGCCCAGCUCAAAAACUUAUUGGGCUUCAUUCUUCUUAAAAGAGGAGUAUGACUUUUGGCACGCCUGAAAAUUCCUUCCAAAACCCUUCUUUAAUGGAAAAUAACCUAACACAUUAAUUAAUUUUUUCCUUUUAAAUGGAUAUUCAA
This 876-nucleotide long non-coding RNA is filed under the name Citrus x clementina. RNAcentral describes it as "Citrus clementina (C. clementina) long non-coding RNA (CCLE_LNC005619)". The record is from RNAcentral. Lineage: Eukaryota; Viridiplantae; Streptophyta; Magnoliopsida; Sapindales; Rutaceae.